GGCGAGUGAAGCGGCAACAGCUCAAAUUUGAAAUCUGGCUCUCGGGCCCGAGUUGUAAUUUGUAGAGGAUGCUUUUGGUGAGGUGCCUUCCGAGUUCCCUGGAACGGGACGCCAUAGAGGGUGAGAGCCCCGUCUGGUUGGACACCGACCCUCUGUAAAGCUCCUUCGACGAGUCGAGUAGUUUGGGAAUGCUGCUCUAAAUGGGAGGUAUAUGUCUUCUAAAGCUAAAUACCGGCCAGAGACCGAUAGCGCACAAGUAGAGUGAUCGAAAGAUGAAAAGAACUUUGAAAAGAGAGUUAAAAAGUACGUGAAAUUGUUGAAAGGGAAGCGCUUGUGACCAGACUUGGGCUUGGUUGAUCAUCCGGGGUUCUCCCCGGUGCACUCUUCCGGCCCAGGCCAGCAUCAGUUCGCCCUGGGGGACAAAGGCUUCGGGAAUGUGGCUCUCUCCGGGGAGUGUUAUAGCCCGCUGCGUAAUACCCUGUGGCGGACUGAGGUUCGCGCAUUCGCAAGGAUGCUGGCGUAAUGGUCAUCAGUGACCCGUCUUGAAACACGGACCAAGGAGUCGUCUUCGUAUGCGAGUGUUCGGGUGUCAAACCCCUACGCGAAAUGAAAGUGAACGCAGGUGAGAGCUUCGGCGCAUCAUCGACCGAUCCUGAUGUUAUCGGAUGGAUUUGAGUAAGAGCAUACGGGGCCGGACCCGAAAGAAGGUGAACUAUGCCUGUGUAGGGUGAAGCCAGAGGAAACUCUGGUGGAGGCUCGCAGCGGUUCUGACGUGCAAAUCGAUCGUCAAACAUGGGCAUGGGGGC
RNAcentral lists this ribosomal RNA (806 nucleotides) under [Neocosmospora] sp. ST-2020a. Its description in RNAcentral is "Neocosmospora sp. ST-2020a partial large subunit ribosomal RNA". It matches the Rfam family "Eukaryotic large subunit ribosomal RNA", at positions 88 to 924 of the family's 3401-position model. Lineage: Eukaryota; Fungi; Ascomycota; Sordariomycetes; Hypocreales; Nectriaceae. The record is from RNAcentral.